CCUACGGGUGGCAGCAGUGGGGAAUAUUGGGCAAUGGGCGCAAGCCUGACCCAGCAACGCCGCGUGAAGGAUGAAGGUUUUCGGAUUGUAAACUUCUGUCGCGAGGGACGAAGAAUGACGGUACCUCGUAAGAAAGCCCCGGCUAACUCCGUGCCAGCAGCCGCGGUAAUACGGAGGAUGCGAGCGUUAUCCGGAUUUAUUGGGUUAAAAGGGUGCGCAGGCGGAAGAUCAAGUCAGCGGUAAAAUUGAGAGGCUCAACCUCUUCGAGCCGUUGAAACUGGUUUUCUUGAGUGAGCGAGAAGUAUGCGGAAUGCGUGGUGUAGCGGUGAAAUGCAUAGAUAGCACGCAGAACUCCGAUUGCGAAGGCAGCAUACCGGCGCUCAACUGACGCUCAUGCACGAAAGUGUGGGUAUCGAACAGGAUUAGAUACCCCAGUAGUC
RNAcentral lists this ribosomal RNA (440 nucleotides) under uncultured bacterium. RNAcentral's name for it is "partial 16S ribosomal RNA". It matches the Rfam family "Bacterial small subunit ribosomal RNA", at positions 338 to 795 of the family's 1533-position model. The record is from RNAcentral.